This 396-nucleotide ribosomal RNA is filed under the name uncultured bacterium. RNAcentral describes it as "partial 16S ribosomal RNA". It matches the Rfam family "Bacterial small subunit ribosomal RNA", at positions 523 to 917 of the family's 1533-position model. The record is from RNAcentral.
AUACGUAGGUGGCAAGCGUUGUCCGGAAUUAUUGGGCGUAAAGCGCGCGCAGGCGGUCCUUUAAGUCUGAUGUGAAAGCCCACGGCUCAACCGUGGAGGGUCAUUGGAAACUGGGGGACUUGAGUGCAGAAGAGGAAAGUGGAAUUCCAAGUGUAGCGGUGAAAUGCGUAGAGAUUUGGAGGAACACCAGUGGCGAAGGCGACUUUCUGGUCUGUAACUGACGCUGAGGCGCGAAAGCGUGGGGAGAAAACAGGAUUAGAUACCCUGGUAGUCCACGCCGUAAACGAUGAGUGCUAAGUGUUAGGGGGUCUCCGCCCCUUAGUGCUGCAGCUAACGCAUUAAGCACCCCGCCUGGGGAGUACGGUCGCAAGACUGAAACUUAAAGGAAUUGACGGG